GAUGAACGCUGGCGGCGUGCCUAACACAUGCAAGUCGAGCGGAGACCCAGGAAGUAGUAAUACGGAAUGGAUCUUAGCGGCGGACGGGUGAGUAACACGUGAGCAAUCUGCCUUUUGCUGGGGAAUAACAUUGUGAAAACAGUGCUAAUACCGCAUGACAUCCGACCGGGACAUCCCGGACGGAUCAAAGGAGAAAUCCGGCAGGAGAUGAGCUCGCGUCCGAUUAGCUAGUUGGUGAGGUAAAGGCCCACCAAGGCGACGAUCGGUAGCCGAACUGAGAGGUUGAUCGGCCACAUUGGGACUGAGACACGGCCCAGACUCCUACGGGUGGCAG
This 334-nucleotide ribosomal RNA is filed under the name uncultured Bacillota bacterium. RNAcentral describes it as "bacterial SSU rRNA". It matches the Rfam family "Bacterial small subunit ribosomal RNA", at positions 28 to 351 of the family's 1533-position model. Lineage: Bacteria; Bacillati; Bacillota. The record is from RNAcentral.